Molecule: ribosomal RNA, 253 nt
Filed under: uncultured bacterium
Lineage: Bacteria
Description: partial 16S ribosomal RNA
Rfam family: Bacterial small subunit ribosomal RNA
Source: RNAcentral
UACGAAGGGGGCUAGCGUUGUUCGGAUUUACUGGGCGUAAAGCGCACGUAGGCGGAUCGUUAAGUCGGGGGUGAAAUCCUGGAGCUCAACUCCAGAACUGCCUUCGAUACUGGCGAUCUUGAGUCCGGAAGAGGUGAGUGGAACUCCUAGUGUAGAGGUGGAAUUCGUAGAUAUUAGGAAGAACACCAGUGGCGAAGGCGGCUCACUGGUCCGGUACUGACACUGAGGUGCGAAAGCGUGGGGAGCAAACAGG